RNAcentral lists this transfer RNA (70 nucleotides) under unidentified. RNAcentral describes it as "Strongylium nakanei tRNA-Trp". The record is from RNAcentral.
UAAGGAUUUAAGUUAAACAAGCUAAACUAACAACCUUCAAAGUUGUAAAUAGACCAUGUCUAAGCCUUAG